RNAcentral lists this long non-coding RNA (1073 nucleotides) under Apteryx rowi (Okarito brown kiwi). RNAcentral's name for it is "lncRNA (ENSARWG00000009525.1)". The record is from RNAcentral. Lineage: Eukaryota; Metazoa; Chordata; Aves; Apterygiformes; Apterygidae.
CUCGUCACAUCACAUCACGCCACACCAUGUCAUGACACACCACAUCAUGUCAUGUCACAUCAUGCUGCAUCAUGUCACAUCACUCCACAUCAUGCCACAUCAUGCCACGUCAUGUUGUGUCACACCACAUCAUCUCAUGUCAUGCCACGUCAUGUCAUGCCACAUCAUGUCAUGUCAGGUCGUGCCAUGUCACGUCACACCACAUCAUGUCACAUCAUGCCACGUCAUGCCACGUCUUGUCACAUCAGACCAUUGCAUGUUACAUCAUGCCACGUCAUGCCACAUCAUGUCACAUCACACCAUGGCAUGUCACAUCAUGCCACAUCACGUCACGUCAUGUUGCACAUGUCACAACAUGUCAGGUCAUGUCAUGUCAUGCCAUGUCAUGCCACACCACAUAUGUCACAUCAUACCACAUCAUGUCAUGCCAUGUCAUGCCACAUCACACCACAUCAUGUCACAUCAUGCCGCGUCAUGCCAUGUCAUGUCACAUCACACCAUGACAUGUCACAUCAUGCCACAUCAUGUUGCACUAUGCAAUGUCGUGCCAUGUCAUGUCAUGUCAUGUCACACCACGUCACGCCAUGCCACGUCAUGCCACGCCACACGGGGACCGCCUGGGGGGCCAGCGAGGAGGCCCGGCAGUGGUGUUUGUCAUGCGGGGAGGCCCCGGGCGUGAAGGCCCCCGCCCAGGUGGGGGGAUCCGGAGGUUCCCGAGCUGCUUUUGAUGUCCUCGGGCCCCAUUUYGGGGGCUCCCAGGACAGUCUCUGUGGCCUCCUCGUAGCCCGAUGGGUGACAGUGACGUGGGGUGGCACAGGGGCCCCUGCGGCGGGGACCGAUGGGCAGCGCCGGGUGCCACCCGCUCAAGGCCUGGCUGACGGCAGGUCGCGGGGGGGUGGCCGUGGUGUCCCGGGGGCCACUCGGGUGCCCCCCACGCCGGGUGCCCCGGGUGUCCCCGCCGGCCGCCCCCGUGUCACCUGGCCGGCGGCGCUCGGGGCCGAUGGUUCCGCAGCCCCGGCGGGGAGGGAGCUCGGGGAGGGGCCUGGANNNNNNNNNNNNNNNNNNNNNNNNNN